Molecule: small nuclear RNA, 191 nt
Organism: Nomascus leucogenys (northern white-cheeked gibbon)
Lineage: Eukaryota; Metazoa; Chordata; Mammalia; Primates; Hylobatidae
Gene: U2
Rfam family: U2 spliceosomal RNA
About the family: U2 is a small nuclear RNA (snRNA) component of the spliceosome (involved in pre-mRNA splicing). Complementary binding between U2 snRNA (in an area lying towards the 5' end but 3' to hairpin I) and the branchpoint sequence (BPS) of the intron results the bulging out of an unpaired adenosine, on the BPS, which initiates a nucleophilic attack at the intronic 5' splice site, thus starting the first of two transesterification reactions that mediate splicing.
Source: Ensembl
AUCUCUUCUUGGUCUUUUAGCUAAGAUCAAAUGUGGUAUCUGUUCUUAACAGCUUAAAAUCUGAUAUGUCCUCUAUUCAAGGACAAUAUAUUAAAUGUAUUUUUGAGCAGGGAGAUGGAAUAUAAGCUUGCUCCAUCCAUCCCAUACAUCUACCUGGUAUUGCAGUACCUCCUGGUAUUGCAGUACCACCA